Long non-coding RNA from Oncorhynchus masou masou (cherry salmon), 1504 nucleotides. RefSeq lists it as uncharacterized. NCBI's taxonomy places the organism in Eukaryota, Metazoa, Chordata, Actinopteri, Salmoniformes, Salmonidae. The record is from RefSeq and is a predicted model, not a curated record. The transcript is spliced from 5 exons.
GAAGCGUGGCACGGUGUCCAAGGAUGAUGCGAUUCCAUAAAGGAGGGCGGGAGAAAUCUAUCAAGAGGGCAGGAGUAGCCUAUCAAGCGCAUAAUCUGGCAAACACUCUGAAAGGGGUGUGUGCAUUUUCAUGAUCGAAUUAUCGUUUAGACCUAAAUUUAAUUUCGUUACAAAUUGAAUUUCUCUCUUCCAUUUGAAUUGAUUGUUCUAUUGCGUUGAAUAAUGUAGGCUAUAGCCUUACGCGCCUGCGUCCAUUUCCAAUUUUAUUGCGCAAAACAUACGCCAUAUUAAAGCAAGGCCUUCUACAUCUAAAUAACGUGAUCAUCCAGGAGUUAUGAAUAUCUAUUUUGCAAUAUUUGCCUUCAUGGCACCUGUUGUUAUUGUUAUGAUAACGGUUGGGGUAUCAUGUGUAAUUCAUCGAAGGAGGCACAGUCGGAUUGAACGCUCACUUCAAUGAUGGACGCUCUGAAAUACCCCUCCUCCCCUUCAGUUUCUAUCCUCUCCGGGAGCAUCGCUCCGAUUACCAUGGAAGAAACCUUCCUAUCAUGGCGGCUAGAUUCCAGGUGAAGGAACAAGCUAGAAUUAUGUGACUGGCUGUGCACAUGCUCAGUUUAGUCCUCAACCCUCAUGUGAAGAAACAUGGACCUGUGAUAGACAGCAGAUUUCAUUGACAAGAAUCUGAUUUGGAGGAUCACCAUCACCCUCAGACACCAUGGCACAGCCCACACCCCUGGAAGCCUCCCUGGGAGCCAUCAUCAUGACAUUCCACAAGCAAGCUGGCAGUGGAGAUGCCAAGACCCUCAGCAAGAAAGCUAACCAACCUCUUCAAGGCAAAGCUGUCCAUCAUCGCUGUGAAGGGUGGUCCUGAAGGGGAUGACCUGAUGACGAUGCUGGACCAGGACGGCGACGGCGCUCUGAACUUCAUGGAGUACCUUACCCUGAUUAUAUCCCUUGCCUGCAUGUGCAACUGCGUCCUGGAAGGGAAAAUGUGUUUGCAUUUCAUGAAAAAACCUGCCUGCUUCCAUCUGCUUUCUACAGUGUAUUGCAUUAGGCCUACAUGUCACACUAAUGUCUCAUAUCUCAUUGAGUACAUUGGGUAAAUGCCCUCCUCCCUGUGUCCACACGCAUGCACGCACGCCCGCACAGACACAAAGGGUUGCAUAACUCGGCAAUAAUUAUGAGACUGAUCCUCAAAUACAUGCACCCACAAGGAUUCGUUGUCAGAAAGUAGCUCAGUUGGUAGUGCAUGGCGCUUUCGAUAACAGGAUAGUGGGUUUGAUUCCUGGGCACACCCGUUGUAAAAUGUAGGCGCGCAUGACUAAAUCGCUUUGGAUAAAAGCCUCUGCUAUGAAUGACCUAUAUUGUUAGAUUAUAUUAAGAUCUCAAGAAUGCUGCUAAACAGAGCAUAGCAUGUGAGAUAGUAAACAGUGUGUGUUGGCUAUGUGUAUUUACCGUGAUAUGUUUUAUCUUUGCUGCUAAUAAAUGGGCAAAAUCCCCAACCAAA